UGCAAAGGUAGCAUAAUCACUAGUUUUUUAAUUGGAAGCUUGAAUGAAAGGUUGGAUGAGGAAACUACUGUCUCAAUUAAAGUUUUUUAGAAUUUUAUUAUUUUGUAAAAAGGCUAAAAUUAUUAUAAAAGACGAGAAGACCCUAUAGAGUUUUAUAAUUUAAAUAGAAAGAGUAAUUAGAAUAGAUUUCUUUAUUUGUUUAAAUUAUUUGGUUGGGGUGAUUGAAAAAUUUAAUUAACUUUUUUUGAAAGAUUACAUAGAUUUAUGGAUAUUUGAUCCUUAUUAAAGAUUAAAAGAAAAAAUUACCUUAGGGAUAACAGCGUUAUUUUUCUUGAGAGUUCUUAUCGAAAGAAGAGUUUGCGACCUCGAUGUUGGAUUAAAAUUUAGGUUUGGUGGAGAAGCUAAACUUUUAGGUCUGUUCGACCUUUAAAAUUUU
This 436-nucleotide ribosomal RNA is filed under the name Euwallacea fornicatus. RNAcentral's name for it is "partial 16S ribosomal RNA". It matches the Rfam family "Bacterial large subunit ribosomal RNA", at positions 1949 to 2597 of the family's 2925-position model. The record is from RNAcentral. Lineage: Eukaryota; Metazoa; Arthropoda; Insecta; Coleoptera; Curculionidae.